This 66-nucleotide transfer RNA is filed under the name Malagasitermes milloti. RNAcentral describes it as "tRNA-His". The record is from RNAcentral. Lineage: Eukaryota; Metazoa; Arthropoda; Insecta; Blattodea; Termitidae.
AUCUAAAUAGUUUAAGAGUAAAAUGUUGGUUUGUGGUGCCGAUGAUAUAGUUGUAUAUUUUGGAUU